RNAcentral lists this transfer RNA (137 nucleotides) under Friedmanniomyces endolithicus. RNAcentral describes it as "tRNA-Glu". Lineage: Eukaryota; Fungi; Ascomycota; Dothideomycetes; Mycosphaerellales; Teratosphaeriaceae. The record is from RNAcentral.
AGCUUGUUGGCGCAGCGGAAGCGCGUGAGUCUCUCCCAAGUAGUGAUUGACGAUGAUUCCCGCUCACUGACCAUCGUACAGGCCGGGCUCAUAUCAUUGAAACCCGGAGGUCAUCGGAUCGAGGCCGAUACAAGCUA